AGCGCCAGCGAGAGAACGUUGCCGCAGGCAACGGCCCGAAGGGCGAGGAGAGAUAGCGACGAGUUAUCCUUCCCCCACCACCA
RNAcentral lists this small RNA (83 nucleotides) under Klebsiella pneumoniae. Its description in RNAcentral is "partial RtT sRNA". It matches the Rfam family "RtT RNA", at positions 51 to 130 of the family's 130-position model. From Rfam's summary of the family: This family represents a bacterial cis-regulatory element known as RtT RNA. The exact function of RtT is unknown although it is thought that it may be involved in changing the cellular response in relation to amino acid starvation. The record is from RNAcentral. Lineage: Bacteria; Pseudomonadati; Pseudomonadota; Gammaproteobacteria; Enterobacterales; Enterobacteriaceae.